Priapulus caudatus is the source of this 277-nucleotide long non-coding RNA. RefSeq lists it as uncharacterized. Lineage: Eukaryota; Metazoa; Priapulida; Priapulimorpha; Priapulimorphida; Priapulidae. The record is from RefSeq and is a predicted model, not a curated record. The transcript is spliced from 3 exons.
UCGAGGACGGACGUUACUUUCACUUCCCCAGCUUCCCCGACACAACUGUCUACAACACCGACGGACAAACAUUCACUGCAGGAGGCUUGCAGUUUGAAGUUCUGCACCCGAUGCUGAGGUGGCGAGUGACAUUCAAUGGCCGCCUCAGGGACGGUCAAAGAAAUGAGCUGGAUAUAGAGGAUGAAGGCAUUCUAGUGCACGUUAAAUUUGCAUUCGUGUGUACGUCUUUUUCUGGGAAGUUCUCAUACAUUGAUGACAACGAUCUUUCUGUGGUUUC